Molecule: long non-coding RNA, 3183 nt
Organism: Neofelis nebulosa (Clouded leopard)
Lineage: Eukaryota; Metazoa; Chordata; Mammalia; Carnivora; Felidae
Exons: 3
Source: RefSeq, a predicted model, not a curated record
CCUCAUGAACACAAAUGUCUUUUACGCAAUUUUAUGCAGUCACUCUAUUGUCCUGAAGAUGGAAGCCAAAGUCCUGGGUCGAAGAUGUAAGAUUUUCACCACUUGAACCUAACAUACAUUUUGUAUUGAUUUAAAAAAAAUGCAAAAGCCUAACAGCUCCAUACAUCAAUAGUUCUAAAAAUGUAGGAAGCCUAACAUUUGUAGAUUUUGCUAAAAAUUGAGAAUUCUAGGCUUUACCGGACCCAGAUACUGAUUCAAGAGGUUUGGCAUAUGGCCAUCAAAUCUAUAUUCUAAGUGAACAUUUUUGUUAGUCAAGAUAGGUUAGUUUCCAUUGCAGUAACAGGCAAACCUCCAAAGUUGAUAUUCUACUUGACAAAACAUACAACAUAGGUCAGUUAGACACUCCUCUCUAGGACCAACGCAGAAAUGUUACCAUUCACUUCACCUGAGGAAAAGAGAAUGUGUUGAACUGCUUACUAGCCCUUAAAACUUCCACCCAGAAAUGUUUUUAUCUUAUUAGAUGAAACAAGUUUUGUGGCAAUACCUAAACUCAAAGUGAUAGGGAACUAUUUGGUGAACAGUAUUUAUGUAGCUAUUCUGAGGACUUCAUUUGAAGACACAGGUACCCUAUUAUUUAUUCUGAAAUAGCUUGUUCAUUAAGUUUCAAAACCUGCCUUCAGUUUUCCUCAGUGCAUUUCAAUACCCAUUGCUCAUGCUGAAUUUUUCUUCUGUUUCUAGGUGCACAAGAACUUCCAACUAUACGUUUAUCUUCUGCAACUAAGAAGUCAAAAGACAUUUCAUGCUCAAUAAUUUAUUUGCUUUUAUUGUAUUUUUAAUGCUCAACUUGUCAAAAAUCAUUAAUAUAUCUAUACCAUAAAAUAUAAUCUUAUUUUUAAGAAAAAAAAAUCUUUCAGCAAUCAAUUCAGGGCAAAAGAGAUAUCAAGAAAAGUAGUCUUAUCUGCUCAGUGGACUCCAACUAUUAAUAGAUUAUUUUCCAAAAAUUUCUUUAUAAAUCAGUUGUUUGAAAAUCUUUUAGAUUUCUCCAGUGGGACAAUAUUAUAGCGAUUGAGAUUUCUGGGAGAGUAUUCCAAUGCCUAUUUAACUCCUUAGGCUAUAUGUUCAAAAUGAAACACUGUAAAGUAAAUUUGUAUAAUAUAAAAUGAAACACCUUUACAAUGCUAUUAAUUCAAUAAAACAAACCAAAAAAGUGCUAAAAUUCAAAUAAUAUAUUGUCUAUAUUUUAAGCUAAUACUGAGACAAGCUUUUUUAAUUAGGGGAGAAUGAAAAGGUAGGUAGAGAUUUUACAGAUGUUUUGAAGGGAAUUAGGAAUAUUUUCAAGGAUUUAUAUGUUAUUGGCAGUAGUUCUUGAUUAUUCCUAAUUGCCACUUCAAAUUAUAUGAUGUUCUUGCCUUAAAACAGGUAUGUCACUAACCACUAAAAUUUCAAACAAUGAUUAUCCCACUGUUUGAAUCAUGAUUGCAAUAAUGAAGGUGAAAAUAAAAAAGUUAAUGAGGAAGGAAAUAAAGAGAGAAAAUACACCAUACUAACUGGGAAAGAGUUUUAACAGAUAAAGGAGAAAACAAUAAAAUGCAAGUGGAUGUGUUAUGUUGUGAAACAUUAUGUGAGGAGGAAUACCUGAGCUGGUACUGGUAAACUAAAGAGAAGAAAAGGAGCAGGAUCCAUUUGAGAGAAGAAUAAAGUUGGUUGUGCUAUAGAAACAUUGGAGUCAGACACCUUAGAGCAGGAGACAAGGGAAGAGUAGAAUUACUCUCUUGAUGUUUAAAGUAAUGAGUCUGAGUGGGACUUGAGCUUGCUUGUACAAUGACGUACUGGGUGAGAAGCAGAUAGAGGAAUGAGAUAAGAAGGGGCAUAAAAGAGCUUUUCUUUAGUAUUGAACGAUGAUACAAGGUAUGUGUCAUCUAUUCAGCCUCUUGAAGUUGAGGCAGGGGUUCCCACAGCCCCACACCCUGUUAAUGAGCCUAGCACAGAAUCUGUACCUGCUUUUCAUUUGUCCAUCCGUGAGGUCUGACAGCCUUCUGCGUGGUUAAGUUAGCUUUAUGCCUCCACCUCCCCAGCCCUCCUAUUUUACCUGAAUCCCAUUUCUGGGUGCAAUCCUGGGAAUUUCCUCCGAGGAGAUCAUAAAUUAGAUUGGAACUAGGACUAUUAACAAACACAAAACCAGGGAAAAACUGGAUUUGCAACAAUCCCUGGGGGCCGUGACUUUAUUCAAAUGAAUCAAGUGUGUAUUGAGUGCUGACUUCUGGAUCAGAUGCUAUGCUAUGAAAUUUCACAUUUAUAAUUUCUAUUUAACAUUUAAUCAGUUUUUGGCGAUUAUAUUCUCAGCAACCAUAUACAGGUGCUAGAGGGCUAACUGGCAUAGAUUCAGGUUCAAGUUAGAGAAGGCAGAAACCAGAGCAAGAUCAUGACAGCUGGGGACCACUGGAGAGGAACACUGACACUCUAACAACAAAAUGGACAACUCCAGUGGACCAAAAUAAGUUGACUAUACCUGAAAUGAUGGAAGAAACAGCGCAAACAUUAACCCUGAAGGGAGAAGGAAGAGAAGAGUCAUAUGUCUUUUGGCUUCAUUAUGGUGACAAAGACAGUUCUGGACGCCUUGCCCAUGCUUGGUACCUGCUAACCUAUUGACGCGAAUACGUGCGGUCUAUAUACACGGGCUCUCCUUUGCUUAUACCACCCAAAGUGAGUUGACUUUGAGGCCAGAAGCCAUAGACUUGAAAGGUAAAGUCAGAGACAAAUGAGGCUGAAGCUGUAAGGACAAAGGAAAUUAGAGGACCCUUGCUUACCUCAGAUACAGAGCAGGUAUGUGUUAGAAAUGUUUGUGCUUACUAAUUAAAUACAUUUCAUUUCCUCUUACAUCUUUUUUGCUUAACUAAGGAGAAAAUGUGCAUUAUUUAUAGGAACUAAACAUAAUGAAAACACAAAGAAAAGGAACCAUUUUGAUUCAAAUCUUGGCAAAUAUCCAACUUGCAAUAACUUGAAGAUUUAAUAUUAUUACGUGCACACACACACAAAAAUAAAGCCUAAUGCUCAUCCAAGCAUAUUUCAAUCAAAACUCUCUCUGGGAACCUUCCUACUGACAAUACAAUUUCAUGCAAAAUAAACAAUAAGAUGCAAAAACUACAGUAAGCAGUUUAGGAAAUUACAUAUCAAAUAUCUUCU